RNAcentral lists this ribosomal RNA (262 nucleotides) under uncultured bacterium. RNAcentral's name for it is "partial 16S ribosomal RNA". It matches the Rfam family "Bacterial small subunit ribosomal RNA", at positions 510 to 771 of the family's 1533-position model. The record is from RNAcentral.
AGCAGCCGCGGUAAUACGAAGGGUGCAAGCGUUAAUCGGAAUUACUGGGCGUAAAGCGCGCGUAGGCGGCUUAUCAAGUCAGAGGUGAAAGCCCGGGGCUCAACCCCGGAACGGCCUUUGAAAAUAGUGGGCUAGAAUCUUGGAGAGGUCAGUGGAAUUCCGAGUGUAGAGGUGAAAUUCGUAGAUAUUCGGAAGAACACCAGUGGCGAAGGCGACUGACUGGACAAGUAUUGACGCUGAGGUGCGAAAGCGUGGGGAGCAA